UUGGAGGGCAAGUCUGGUGCCAGCAGCCGCGGUAAUUCCAGCUCCAAUAGCGUAUAUUAAAGUUGCUGCAGUUAAAAAGCUCGUAGUUGAAUUUCGGGACCAUCAUGUCGGUCGUGCCUCGGUACGUACUGGUAUUGUUGGUUUCUCCCUUCUGACGAACCAUGAUGUCAUUUAUUUGGUGUCGUGGGAAAUCAGGACUGUUACUUUGAAAAAAUUAGAGUGUUUAAAGCAGGCUCACGCUUGAAUACAUUAGCAUGGAAUAAUGAAAUAGGACGUUUGAUUCUAUUUUGUUGGUUUCUAGGAUCGACGUAAUGAUUAAUAGGGAUAGUUGGGGGCAUUAGUAUUCAAUUGUCAGAGGUGAAAUUCUUGGAUUUAUUGAAGACUAACUACUGCGAAAGCAUUUGCCAAGGAUGUUUUCAUUAAUCAAGAACGAAAGUUAGGGGAUCGAAGACGAUCAGAUACCGUCGUAGUCUUAACCAUAAACUAUGCCGACUAGGGAUCGGAUGAUGUUAAUUUUUUAAUGACUCAUUCGGCGCCUUACGGGAAAC
This 548-nucleotide ribosomal RNA is filed under the name uncultured Glomeromycotina. RNAcentral's name for it is "SSU rRNA". It matches the Rfam family "Eukaryotic small subunit ribosomal RNA", at positions 548 to 1098 of the family's 1831-position model. The record is from RNAcentral. Lineage: Eukaryota; Fungi; Glomeromycota.